ACGCGAGCUGGGUUCAGAACGUCGUGAGACAGUUCGGUCCCUAUCCGGUGUUGGCGUUGGAGAUUUGAGAGACCCUGUCCCUAGUACGAGAGGACCGGGAUGGACGAACCUCUAGUGCACCUGUUGUCGCGCCAGCGGCAUCGCAGGGUAGCUAUGUUCGGAAGGGAUAACCGCUGAAAGCAUCUAAGCGGGAAGCCUUUCUCAAGAUGAGAUCUCCCUGGGCUUAGGCCCCUGAAGACACCUCAAAGACCAUGAGGUUGAUAGGCCACAGGUAUAAGGGCAGUAAUGUCUGUAGCCGAGUGGUACUAAUAUGUCGUGAGGCUUGACCAUAUUACACC
RNAcentral lists this ribosomal RNA (338 nucleotides) under Spirochaetaceae bacterium. RNAcentral describes it as "bacterial LSU rRNA". It matches the Rfam family "Bacterial large subunit ribosomal RNA", at positions 2598 to 2925 of the family's 2925-position model. Lineage: Bacteria; Pseudomonadati; Spirochaetota; Spirochaetia; Spirochaetales; Spirochaetaceae. The record is from RNAcentral.